UGAUGCGGUCAUAUGAGGGCUACUACACCGGAUCCCAUCAGAACUUUGUAGUUAAGCUUCCUUGGGCCGGAAUAGUAUGUUGGAUGACCUCUCGGGAAGUCCCGGUGCCGCAUCCA
This 116-nucleotide ribosomal RNA is filed under the name Marchantia polymorpha subsp. ruderalis. The record is from RNAcentral. Lineage: Eukaryota; Viridiplantae; Streptophyta; Marchantiopsida; Marchantiales; Marchantiaceae.